AAUAGAUACCCCGGUAGUCCACGCCGUAAACGAUGAGUGCUAAGUGUUAGGGGGUUUCCGCCCCUUAGUGCUGCAGCUAACGCAUUAAGCACUCCGCCUGGGGAGUACGGUCGCAAGACUGAAACUCAAAGGAAUUGACGGGGGCCCGCACAAGCGGUGGAGCAUGUGGUUUAAUUCGAAGCAACGCGAAGAACCUUACCAGGUCUUGACAUCCUCUGACAAUCCUAGAGAUAGGACGUCCCCUUCGGGGGCAGAGUGACAGGUGGUGCAUGGUUGUCGUCAGCUCGUGUCGUGAGAUGUUGGGUUAAGUCCCGCAACGAGCGCAACCCUUGACCUUAGUUGCCAGCAUUCAGUUGGGCACUCUAAGGUGACUGCCGGUGACAAACCGGAGGAAGGUGGGGAUGACGUCAAAUCAUCAUGCCCCUUAUGACCUGGGCUACACACGUGCUACAAUGGACAGAACAAAGGGCAGCGAAACCGCGAGGUUAAGCCAAUCCCACAAAUCUGUUCUCAGUUCGGAUCGCAGUUUGCAAC
This 534-nucleotide ribosomal RNA is filed under the name uncultured bacterium. RNAcentral describes it as "bacterial SSU rRNA". It matches the Rfam family "Bacterial small subunit ribosomal RNA", at positions 777 to 1311 of the family's 1533-position model. The record is from RNAcentral.